Molecule: ribosomal RNA, 253 nt
Filed under: uncultured bacterium
Lineage: Bacteria
Description: partial 16S ribosomal RNA
Rfam family: Bacterial small subunit ribosomal RNA
Source: RNAcentral
UACGUAGGUGACAAGCGUUGUCCGGAUUUACUGGGCGUAAAGAGCGCGCAGGCGGUCGAUCAAGUCGAGUGUGAAAGCCCCCGGCUCAACUGGGGAGGGUCAUUCGAUACUGAUCGACUCGAAGGCAGGAGAGGGUAGUGGAAUUCCCGGUGUAGUGGUGAAAUGCGUAGAUAUCGGGAGGAACACCAGUGGCGAAGGCGACUACCUGGCCUGUUCUUGACGCUGAGGCGCUAAAGCUAGGGGAGCAAACGGG